UCCAAGAAUCAGUGGGUAAUUGGUCAUUGGGGGUCAGAACUAUGACUAGAGUAGUUGUAGCGAGUCUAGAGAUGGUGAAGUUUGUUGAGUUGGAAGAACAAGAGAGAAACUUGCGAGAUGUUUCUCUAAUCUACAAGAGGUGGCUUCGUGAACUGCUGGAGAUCUAAAGGAAUUUAAGGAAGACAUGAUGAAGAAAACUGAAGGUCAGAAUUUAUCUUAGAAGAAUUGCGAACCUAUAUGAGUGUUGGAAAGAGUAAGGGAGCUAACAGUUCUAGCGAAUGUGGAAGUAGAUGUACUUACCUAAUUAACUCUUCUUGUAGGUGGAUCAUUCCUUACUCCAAACUGCUGUGAAUUUGUAGCCAUGUUUGAUAUCAAGUUCUUUGCUGCUUCAGGUAUCUUAUCUACCAAAGCACCUCUAUUAACUGUAUCUAUCAUGCCUUUGUUAGUAGGAAGAAGACCUUCAUAAAAAUAUUGAACGAGUAGUUGGUCACUUAUUUGAUGAUGUGGGCAACUUGCACGCAAUCUAUUGAAUCUCUCUCAAUACUCAUGCAAUGACUCCCUAUUAUACUGCCUAAUGUCACAAAUUUCUUUUCUAAUGUUGGCUGCCCUUGAAGCUAGAAAGUACUUCUCUAAGAAUAGCCUCUUCAUGUCAUUCCAUAUGUUUAUGAAAUCAGAAGGUAGGUGGUAGAGCCAAUCUUUAGCUGCAUCUUCCAAUGAGAAUGAGAAUGCUUUCAAUUUAAUUUGCUCCUCUGUAAUACUUGUAGGUUUCAUGCUUAAACACACAACAUGAAACUCCUCAAGGUGUUUGUGAGGAUCAUCACUUGCAAGACUACGAAAAGUAGGCAAUAAGUGAAUUAAGCCAGAUUUUAAUUCAAAAGGCACCGUAAGUGCAGGAUAUUGUAUGCAUAAUGGUUGUUGGUUCAUGUCAGGAGUUGCAAACUCUCUGAUGGUGCGAUUUUCAUUAGCAUGAGCAGCCAUGAUUUCUAAUUCUAAAUCACAUGAUGAAUUUGAAGGUUCUUCCUUAA
This 1025-nucleotide unclassified non-coding RNA is filed under the name Hevea brasiliensis (rubber tree). The record is from RNAcentral. Lineage: Eukaryota; Viridiplantae; Streptophyta; Magnoliopsida; Malpighiales; Euphorbiaceae.